Long non-coding RNA from Cyprinus carpio carpio, 1563 nucleotides. Lineage: Eukaryota; Metazoa; Chordata; Actinopteri; Cypriniformes; Cyprinidae. The record is from Ensembl.
UGGAGCUUUCCCCCGCGCGCGCGCUAACACACAUAAUUUUCACGGGCUAUAGCGCCGCUCAGUGGAUUUAUCUUAUUCCUCUAUGUUCAGUUAUAUAGUUUAUUGGGACCUUGGAGAACAAACAGAAACGUCCUGUCCUUUGCCCGGUUCUUUUCUUGGUUGAAUGUCCGCAUUUGUAAUUGUCAUUAUGUCUAGUAACUAUAAUGACCCGCGCAACUGUCAUUACGCGUGAUGUUUACGCCAAACGCGGUCCACGCGGUGUUUACUGACGUGUACUCACCAACACUGCUGGAUGCAAGAAUUAUUGUUGAAAAAUGAGUGUGUAACGCGUGACCCCUCAUUUCCCACCUCGCUGACACCCUCUUUUCUGCAUCUGAGCCUCAUCUUGCAGGAGAGGCAAUCCAAGCUUUUGCUAACUGCAGAUAUCGAAGAGGAAUCUUAAACGGGAGAAAUUCUAGUUAAAAAGAGCAAGAUGGAGAACUAUUGAUCCCUUAUCCCAAAGGUGUCCACCGUAUGCAGAUGUCCCAAAGGUGCACCAGAGAAGGCUCCAGCAUUUUGAAUGCAUCGCAACCUUUCAUACCUUUUCAACUGCAGGCGCAACACUUCAGCUAUUGAAGUUUUUACAGGACAGGCGAGGAAAGAGGAAUUGAGGGAAAGGAAUGAGCAAUGGACCUUGAGUCGAGACUCGAAAUUGGGUCACAAGAAGCACUGCUGUACAAGGCUGUUUUACCAUUUUUAAAAGUGCUGUUCCCAGUGCUGUGCCAGUUCCCAGACUAUAGCAUAAAGUCUAAAACUUUUAACACAUCUCUGAAUUUGCUGGUAGAAUGAAAUUGCAUUUUCACCACAGAUACUCAAUGGGCCAUUUCCUUUAAUCGUUUAAACACUUUGGCUCAGUCUAGAGCCAAACAGUAACCAGAGAGCUCAGAUACUGGCACAGGUCUUGAACCUGAUAACUUUUACAUGUUUGAUAGCUGUUGCAUCAUAAAUUAUUUCCACAGACUCCUGGGUUUUGAGGGAUCAUAUUCUGUCAGCUCUAGCUCCUGGUAAUAUCAUUUAAUGAUAUUAACAAAUUUGGUCCUCUAGUGUUUCGGUUUUAUCUGGGAAAUCUUAAACGCCUCCUUGGUGAAUACAUGGUUAUGAUAUUAUCCUGACCAGGCGGAUUGUGUUCUGGGUGUAUCAGGUGGCUAUUAAGUGUGGGGAAGCAGUGGUAAUAACCCAGUGUAUAAACCGCCGAGACGCUUGCUUACAGCCUCACAACAUUUCCUGUUGUAACUGAGAAAUAUCAGCUAGAAAGUCAGGAAAUAACAGUUACUUUUGAAGGAGGCAGACAUAAAAUGUUUAUUUUCUCUUUUCCUUCAUGGCUUCAUUUUCCAUGGUUAAAUCCCUCAUUAGCCUGCUUAAACUUCCUCCUCUGCAUCUGAUAUCAAACUCUGGCCAUCAUUAGCACUGCUUAAAGAGAGCAGCCAUACUCUUGUGAGUCAAAAAACGAGACUGUAGUUCACACAGGCUUCAUACUUAAUUUUUAAUUUACAUAAACGAUACAAGAUGCAUUUUGAAUACUGG